GGGAAGUUGGCUCAGUGGUAGAGCGCUUGCCUCACAUGCAUGAGGCCCUGGGUUGAACUCCUCA
RNAcentral lists this transfer RNA (64 nucleotides) under Dipodomys ordii (Ord's kangaroo rat). It matches the Rfam family "tRNA". From Rfam's summary of the family: Transfer RNA (tRNA) molecules are approximately 80 nucleotides in length. Their secondary structure includes four short double-helical elements and three loops (D, anti-codon, and T loops). The record is from Rfam by way of RNAcentral. Lineage: Eukaryota; Metazoa; Chordata; Mammalia; Rodentia; Heteromyidae.